UGUUCUCGAAGAAAUUAAUUAUGAUAUUGGAUUUCAUAAGGGUCAAUUAUUAUCUCUAAUGUGAAAGGUGUCAUUGGAUUUCCUUUGUUCUACAUCACUUAGAAGGAUAAUAGAUACGUUAGAGGUGUGCAAUCGGUCGGUACGGAAUCAAACCAAACCGAAAUAAGAGAAGAACCGAAUCAAACUGAACUGGUUUGGUUUGGUUGGGUUCGGUUAAAAACCAUUGGUUCCGUAAAUUCCCAAAGUGCCAAAUUCUUUUGUUCUCAAAUAAUACCGUUUCCACACUUGAACAUCAUCUUCCCCAGUCUUGGCUUCCAAGCAAAAUCCCAAUCCUCAGCAAAGAACUUUCCCAAAUCAUCAACAACAACAAAUUCUCAGCAUUAAACUUCCCCAAAUCAUCAAAGACAAUAAAUAUACAAAUAUGCUAAUCAUUGUUUCAUUUUCUCAAAAAAAAAAAAAA
RNAcentral lists this unclassified non-coding RNA (460 nucleotides) under Hevea brasiliensis (rubber tree). The record is from RNAcentral. Lineage: Eukaryota; Viridiplantae; Streptophyta; Magnoliopsida; Malpighiales; Euphorbiaceae.